UCGAACGUACGGUAACGACGACUACCUCGUUUAGAUUGAAGGAGCUUGCUCCUGAUUGAUAAACAUUUGAGUGAGUGGCGGACGGGUGAGUAACACGUGGGUAACCUGCCCUAAAGUGGGGGAUAACAUUUGGAAACAGAUGCUAAUACCGCAUAAAACCUAACACCGCAUGGUGUAGGGUUGAAAGAUGGUUUCGGCUAUCACUUUAGGAUGGACCCGCGGUGCAUUAGUUAGUUGGUGAGGUAAAGGCUCACCAAGACCGUGAUGCAUAGCCGACCUGAGAGGGUAAUCGGCCACACUGGGACUGAGACACGGCCCAGACUCCUACGGGAGGCAGCAGUAGGGAAUCUUCCACAAUGGACGAAAGUCUGAUGGAGCAACGCCGCGUGAGUGAAGAAGGUUUUCGGAUCGUAAAACUCUGCUGUUGGAGAAGAAUGUAUCUGAUAGUAACUGAUCAGGUAGUGACGGUAUCCAACCAGAAAGCCACGGCUAACUACGUG
RNAcentral lists this ribosomal RNA (500 nucleotides) under uncultured bacterium. RNAcentral describes it as "bacterial SSU rRNA". It matches the Rfam family "Bacterial small subunit ribosomal RNA", at positions 62 to 507 of the family's 1533-position model. The record is from RNAcentral.